This 253-nucleotide ribosomal RNA is filed under the name uncultured bacterium. RNAcentral's name for it is "partial 16S ribosomal RNA". It matches the Rfam family "Bacterial small subunit ribosomal RNA", at positions 524 to 776 of the family's 1533-position model. The record is from RNAcentral.
UACGUAGGGUGCAAGCGUUAAUCGGAAUUACUGGGCGUAAAGCGUACGCAGGCGGCUUUGCAAGACAGGUGUGAAAUCCCCGGGCUUAACCUGGGAACUGCACUUGUGACUGCACAGCUGGAGUACGGCAGAGGGGGAUGGAAUUCCGCGUGUAGCAGUGAAAUGCGUAGAUAUGCGGAGGAACACCGAUGGCGAAGGCAGUCCCCUGGGCCUGUACUGACGCUCAUGCACGAAAGCGUGGGGAGCAAACAGG